RNAcentral lists this ribosomal RNA (416 nucleotides) under uncultured bacterium. RNAcentral's name for it is "bacterial SSU rRNA". It matches the Rfam family "Bacterial small subunit ribosomal RNA", at positions 11 to 429 of the family's 1533-position model. The record is from RNAcentral.
GUUUGAUCCUGGCUCAGAUUGAACGCUGGCGGCAUGCUUUACACAUGCAAGUCGAACGGCAGCGGGGGCUUCGGCCUGCCGGCGAGUGGCGAACGGGUGAGUAAUGCAUCGGAACGUGCCCAUGUCGUGGGGGAUAACGUAGCGAAAGCUACGCUAAUACCGCAUACGCCCUGAGGGGGAAAGCGGGGGAUUCUUCGGAACCUCGCGCGAUUGGAGCGGCCGAUGUCGGAUUAGCUAGUAGGUGAGGUAAAGGCUCACCUAGGCGACGAUCCGUAGCGGGUCUGAGAGGAUGAUCCGCCACACUGGGACUGAGACACGGCCCAGACUCCUACGGGAGGCAGCAGUGGGGAAUUUUGGACAAUGGGCGCAAGCCUGAUCCAGCCAUGCCGCGUGAGUGAAGAAGGCCUCGGUGUAAG